UUUUUUAUUUCUCGCCGAUAUCCGAUCCAGUAUUUAGGUCAGUAUCAGACCGAUACGUAAUAUCGGAUCGGUCCAUCUCUAAUGUAAAUGAAUCUAAACCUUUAUAAACUUAAAAAUAUUCCACAGAUGUUGUCUCCAGCUGAGGACAUUUGAUUGUGCCCACUGAACUUUGGUGCACACUGGAUCCUUGUGGUUGUCAAAAUCUCCUCACAAUCUGUACUGCUGUUAGACCCUCUUGGAAAUGAAGGUUGUUAUGAAAGGAAAAUUAUGCGUAACUGGAGGAAUUUUCUGAAGAUGAAAGGAAAGGAAGAGUCCCGAGUGGAUUGGAAAAUGGAGACUCUGCCACACAACAAGCAGAUGGACUCCAGCAGUUGUGGAGUAUUAGUGUUGAAGUUUGCCGAACACUACCUUAUGAGUGGAGAGGUUACUAGGGUGCUGUCCA
Long non-coding RNA from Oreochromis aureus, 442 nucleotides. The record is from Ensembl. NCBI's taxonomy places the organism in Eukaryota, Metazoa, Chordata, Actinopteri, Cichliformes, Cichlidae.